This 203-nucleotide ribosomal RNA is filed under the name Staphylococcus pseudintermedius. Its description in RNAcentral is "partial 23S ribosomal RNA". It matches the Rfam family "Bacterial large subunit ribosomal RNA", at positions 89 to 291 of the family's 2925-position model. The record is from RNAcentral. Lineage: Bacteria; Bacillati; Bacillota; Bacilli; Caryophanales; Staphylococcaceae.
UAAGUAAGCUUUGAUCCAGAGAUUUCCGAAUGGGGAAACCCAGCACGAGUUAUGUCGUGUUAUCUGCAUGUGAAUACAUAGCAUGCAAGAAGGCAGACCCGGAGAACUGAAACAUCUUAGUACCCGGAGGAAGAGAAAGAAAAAUCGAUUCCCUGAGUAGCGGCGAGCGAAACGGGAAGAGCCCAAACCAAUAAGCUUGCUUA